This 492-nucleotide ribosomal RNA is filed under the name uncultured bacterium. RNAcentral describes it as "partial 16S ribosomal RNA". It matches the Rfam family "Bacterial small subunit ribosomal RNA", at positions 29 to 507 of the family's 1533-position model. The record is from RNAcentral.
AGUGAACGCUGGCGGUAGGCCUAACACAUGCAAGUCGAACGGCAGCACAGUAAGAGCUUGCUCUUACGGGUGGCGAGUGGCGGACGGGUGAGGAAUACAUCGGAAUCUACUUUUUCGUGGGGGAUAACGUAGGGAAACUUACGCUAAUACCGCAUACGACCUACGGGUGAAAGCAGGGGAUCUUCGGACCUUGCGCGAUUGAAUGAGCCGAUGUCGGAUUAGCUAGUUGGCGGGGUAAAGGCCCACCAAGGCGACGAUCCGUAGCUGGUCUGAGAGGAUGAUCAGCGACACUGGAACUGAGACACGGUCCAGACUCCUACGGGAGGCAGCAGUGGGGAAUAUUGGACAAUGGGCGCAAGCCUGAUCCAGCCAUACCGCGUGGGUGGAGAAGGCCUUCGGGUUGUAAAGCCCUUUUGUUGGGAAAGAAAAGCAGCAGGUUAAUACCCCGCUGUUCUGACGGUACCCAAAGAAUAAGCACCGGCUAACUUCGUG